CCAAGCCACAACCUCAUAUCCACGGCGGUGGUUUAAAGUGAACAGCAAAUAAGUAUCGCAGAAACCGCCGAAACAACUCUGCGGAAGUGUUACAUUAAUGUUCAAGGACCCCCGCGGACGGGCGCGUGCGGGAUGGACUCUGUCACUGAGCGCUUGUCUUACAUUUCUACACAAUACAGAAGCGCAAACUGGGCGAGGAAUAUGAAGAUGAACUGUGGUUAACAAAACAACCCCAAGUCGUCUGUCGUUUAAAGAACCAAGUCGGACAAAUACCUUUGGAUCUGUUAAUUUAUAGCACCCAGUACCUCCGAGUGACCUGUUACAGCGAUGUGAGGGACCCGCCGGCCGAGGAGCUGCUGCAGAAGAGCGUUUCUUUCAUUAAACAGCUGGAGCGCAACAACUGGAAGCUGAACUUCACCGAGUCGGGUCUUCUGCAGACGGUGGACACCUCACCCCCCCCGCAGAGGAACGAUGUCCCCGGGCGGCGGAGUAAAGGCUUUUAAAGGGGGGCCCAGAAAAGUGGACAG
Molecule: long non-coding RNA, 527 nt
Filed under: Scleropages formosus (Asian bonytongue)
Lineage: Eukaryota; Metazoa; Chordata; Actinopteri; Osteoglossiformes; Osteoglossidae
Description: lncRNA (ENSSFOG00015025752.1)
Source: RNAcentral